AAAACAGAUAAAUUUCGUUGACGAGGCGCGGCGAUUACGGUUUAAUGCGCCCCGUU
This 56-nucleotide transfer RNA is filed under the name Klebsiella pneumoniae subsp. pneumoniae Ecl8. Its description in RNAcentral is "tRNA-Phe". The record is from RNAcentral. Lineage: Bacteria; Pseudomonadati; Pseudomonadota; Gammaproteobacteria; Enterobacterales; Enterobacteriaceae.